Molecule: long non-coding RNA, 1967 nt
Organism: Mesocricetus auratus (golden hamster)
Lineage: Eukaryota; Metazoa; Chordata; Mammalia; Rodentia; Cricetidae
Exons: 4
Source: RefSeq, a predicted model, not a curated record
ACGUCACUAGCCAGGCCCACUUUUGGGCAUGGCUAGGGGGCGUUACGGGGGAAGGCAUAAAAGACAGCACACAGGAAGUCUCGGUCUCUUUUCCUGGAGUUCGGUUCCGGUCCGACAGCUGAAAACUGCUCGGCUCCUCUGGGUUUGGUAUCUUCUUAAGGAGCUUCUCACUCUGUGCUGGCGGCAGAGGUCAACUGAGCAGCGGGGCAAAGCCGGGAGCUGCAUCCCCACCCACCCACGCCAUGCUGUUUUCUGUCUGACCGCGCUACUAUGCGGGUCUAGGAAAGGUGGCAUCUGAUAACAGAGUUUCGGUUCUGCCUGGUCCCAAAGCGCUACCGGCUGAGCUAUCGGGACUGCAGGAAUGAAAAUGAUGGAAUUGGAGUUUAAGAAUAGAAACAAAAGAACUUGAGUUUGGAUGGUGUGUCGGAUACUUUUACGUCACGAUGACACAAGCUGAAAGUAUCUGAUGGAGGGCCUCCGUUAAGAAAACGCCUCCUUAAGACUGGGAUCUUUAUUGCUAGAAGAUAAUUUGGUCAUUGCAAAAUAAUCAACAUGGAGCCUGCAGCAGAGGACAAUCUCUUGAGUGCUGAACCCAAUAAUCAACAUGGAGCCUGCAGCAGAGGACAAUCUCUUGAGUGCUGAACCCUUCUCUUUGUCAUGCUCAGGUGCUCAGGGCCACAAGAGCACUGAUUUUACCACUACCGUGAACUUCAAAUUACAGGACUCAGGCCGCCCAUAAGUGCAAAGCAAUUUAGCGGUGGAGCCAGGACAGCGGCCUGACCUUUCCUCCUCACCAUUCCCUUCUCUUUUCAGUUAAUUUGCUCCAUUCUUUUACCACAGAUUACAAAACUGAAAUGAAGAAACUCAGCACCAAAGCCUAAAGCCAGAGGCCGCAUUUGCAUUGCACAAUUGCCUUGUUGUGGAAAGACAGCUUGCUAUGUGCACAUCGUGUUUGACACAACUUCUGGGUGAAGCAAAGCCGCAUCCGAGUCUCGGCUUCACAGCAUAUGGAUAUUUUCUCGCCGGUGAUUUAAAAGUGAUUUGUGACCGACUGCAGGAAGCCGAUCAGCGGACACCUGACUAGCCUGUGACUCUCAGCUGGAGCCGCUGGGCGGGAUAAUUUUAAUGAACAAAGACAUGAAAGGGAACUUUCUGGAACCAGAGUCCUGGAAAGGAAGCUCACAGUUGUCAGAGUUGGGAGUGUAAGUCCUCAAUCUUCCAGCCUGAGGUAGGGCAGCAGGCAGCCUCUGAGGUAACCUGGUUCAGUGGAAGCAUGUGACUUCCCCAUUUGCAAAGCGGAGUUACUGCUUAACCCUUAACCACGCUCGGCCCUUUUGUCAGCCCACGCCUCCAUUAGAUGUUCACAUUUAGUACAGCAGCACUGAAUGAGCCCAGAUUCCCAACUCCUCCAUAAAGAAGAAGGGAGGGGACUGUGGCACAAACUGUUGUGGAAUGCUCUUCUGGGGGCAUGACAUGAACACUGCCAUCUUGAAAUCAGAACAUCUGUGAUGACAGCUGUCACUAGACUACUGGGACUGAUGAGUCCCUCAUGGAGAGGGGAGAGGGACCAGAAAGGGACACAUGGGGCCUCAGUCCCCCCCCCAGGAUCUAGAGGCCUCAUCCCUCCCCAGGAUCUAUAAGCCUAUAAGCAGCUAACAUUUUCAAGCAGCCCUCUUUGGUAGCAUAAAAGGAAUCACAGUUAAAAUCGCCAAUUUUAAGUUCAACUUGAGUGGAGUUGUUUCUUAUAUGUCUCAGAUGUCCUAGUGGAUUCAGAGAUGUUUGUCCAGAUCGCCCCAGGUAAUUUUUGGUUAAGAGUUGGUCUCCCACUAUAGUUCAAGCCUGGAAUUCACUCUGAAGUCCAGGCUGGGCUGUAACAAUCCCCCUAACAGAGCCUGUCAAAUACAUCAUUAUUUUAUAAUUCUACUACUAAUCUGAUGAGCGUCUGGCCUACAUUUAAAAUGGAGAAA